UACGGGGGGGGCAAGCGUUGUUCGGAAUUACUGGGCGUAAAGGGUUCGUAGGUGGCCUGCUAAGUCACACGUGAAAUCCCUCAGCUUAACUGGGGAACUGCGUGUGAUACUGGCGAGCUUGAGUGCAGGAGAGGAACGCGGAAUUCCAGGUGUAGCGGUGAAAUGCGUAGAUAUCUGGAGGAACACCGGUGGCGAAGGCGGCGUUCUGGACUGCAACUGACACUGAUGAACGAAAGCGUGGGGAGCAAACAGG
Molecule: ribosomal RNA, 253 nt
Filed under: uncultured bacterium
Lineage: Bacteria
Description: partial 16S ribosomal RNA
Rfam family: Bacterial small subunit ribosomal RNA
Source: RNAcentral